Micropterus salmoides (largemouth bass) is the source of this 313-nucleotide long non-coding RNA. RefSeq lists it as uncharacterized. Lineage: Eukaryota; Metazoa; Chordata; Actinopteri; Centrarchiformes; Centrarchidae. The record is from RefSeq and is a predicted model, not a curated record. The transcript is spliced from 3 exons.
GGUCUGUUUUUGAACAUGUGGCCCACUUGAUCCUGGAUGUGGGUUCACUUGUGAAGUCUUUUACAUGGUUUCUUCUAAUUUAGAUUUACUAACUUGUGACCUCUUUUGUUUGUGAAAGCACUCAACUACAAAUAACAUUUAUUAAUACUUACCUUUUAUUAGGACCUGAAGACUCUUCAUUUCUUCUGCAGUUGAUUGUUGGGCCAGUUUGUGGAAGUUUACUGAUUAUUCUCCUGCUGCUGUUGUGUUGCUACAGAAAGUCAAAGGAUUCAAAUUUUGCCAGGACCCCACAGAGAACCAAUCCGGGCUCUGC